Molecule: small nuclear RNA, 140 nt
Organism: Callithrix jacchus (white-tufted-ear marmoset)
Lineage: Eukaryota; Metazoa; Chordata; Mammalia; Primates; Cebidae
Gene: U4
Rfam family: U4 spliceosomal RNA
About the family: U4 small nuclear RNA (U4 snRNA) is a component of the major U2-dependent spliceosome.
Source: Ensembl
AGCUUUGCGCAGUGGCAGUAUCGUAGCCAAUAAGGUUUAUCCGAGGAGCAAUUAUUGCUAAUUGAAAACUUUUCCCAAUACCCUGCCGUGACGACUUGCAAUAUAAUCGGCAUUGGCAAUUUUUGACAGUCUACAGAGAC